RNAcentral lists this ribosomal RNA (448 nucleotides) under uncultured bacterium. RNAcentral describes it as "bacterial SSU rRNA". It matches the Rfam family "Bacterial small subunit ribosomal RNA", at positions 29 to 524 of the family's 1533-position model. The record is from RNAcentral.
AACGAGCGCUGGCGGCAGGCCUAACACAUGCAAGUCGAGCGCCCCGCAAGGGAGCGGCGGACGGGUGAGUAACGCGUGGGAACGUGCCUCUUGCUACGGAAUAGCCUCGGGAAACUGGGAGUAAUACCGUAUGUGCCCUACGGGGGAAAGAUUUAUCGGCAAGAGAUCGGCCCGCGUUGGAUUAGGUAGUUGGUGGGGUAAUGGCCUACCAAGCCGACGAUCCAUAGCUGGUUUGAGAGGAUGAUCAGCCACACUGGGACUGAGACACGGCCCAGACUCCUACGGGAGGCAGCAGUGGGGAAUCUUAGACAAUGGGCGCAAGCCUGAUCUAGCCAUGCCGCGUGAGCGAUGAAGGCCUUAGGGGUUGUAAAAGCUCUUUCAGUGGGAAGAUAAUGACUGUACCCACAGAAGAAGCCCCGGCUAACUCCGUGCCAGCAGCCGCGGUAAU